This 1437-nucleotide ribosomal RNA is filed under the name Streptomyces phaeochromogenes. Its description in RNAcentral is "bacterial SSU rRNA". It matches the Rfam family "Bacterial small subunit ribosomal RNA". Lineage: Bacteria; Bacillati; Actinomycetota; Actinomycetes; Kitasatosporales; Streptomycetaceae. The record is from RNAcentral.
CCAUGCAAGUCGAAGGAUGAAGCCCUUCGGGGUGGAUUAGUGGCGAACGGGUGAGUAACACGUGGGCAAUCUGCCCUUCACUCUGGGACAAGCCCUGGAAACGGGGUCUAAUACCGGAUAAUACCUGCCUGGGCAUCUGGGUGGGUUAAAAGCUCCGGCGGUGAAGGAUGAGCCCGCGGCCUAUCAGCUUGUUGGUGAGGUAGUGGCUCACCAAGGCGACGACGGGUAGCCGGCCUGAGAGGGCGACCGGCCACACUGGGACUGAGACACGGCCCAGACUCCUACGGGAGGCAGCAGUGGGGAAUAUUGCACAAUGGGCGAAAGCCUGAUGCAGCGACGCCGCGUGAGGGAUGACGGCCUUCGGGUUGUAAACCUCUUUCAGCAGGGAAGAAGCGAAAGUGACGGUACCUGCAGAAGAAGCGCCGGCUAACUACGUGCCAGCAGCCGCGGUAAUACGUAGGGCGCAAGCGUUGUCCGGAAUUAUUGGGCGUAAAGAGCUCGUAGGCGGCUUGUCACGUCGGUUGUGAAAGCCCGGGGCUUAACCCCGGGUCUGCAGUCGAUACGGGCAGGCUAGAGUGUGGUAGGGGAGAUCGGAAUUCCUGGUGUAGCGGUGAAAUGCGCAGAUAUCAGGAGGAACACCGGUGGCGAAGGCGGAUCUCUGGGCCAUUACUGACGCUGAGGAGCGAAAGCGUGGGGAGCGAACAGGAUUAGAUACCCUGGUAGUCCACGCCGUAAACGGUGGGAACUAGGUGUUGGCGACAUUCCACGUCGUCGGUGCCGCAGCUAACGCAUUAAGUUCCCCGCCUGGGGAGUACGGCCGCAAGGCUAAAACUCAAAGGAAUUGACGGGGGCCCGCACAAGCAGCGGAGCAUGUGGCUUAAUUCGACGCAACGCGAAGAACCUUACCAAGGCUUGACAUCGCCCGGAAAGCAUCAGAGAUGGUGCCCCCCUUGUGGUCGGGUGACAGGUGGUGCAUGGCUGUCGUCAGCUCGUGUCGUGAGAUGUUGGGUUAAGUCCCGCAACGAGCGCAACCCUUGUUCUGUGUUGCCAGCAUGCCCUUCGGGGUGAUGGGGACUCACAGGAGACUGCCGGGGUCAACUCGGAGGAAGGUGGGGACGACGUCAAGUCAUCAUGCCCCUUAUGUCUUGGGCUGCACACGUGCUACAAUGGCAGGUACAAUGAGCUGCGAUGCCGCGAGGCGGAGCGAAUCUCAAAAAGCCUGUCUCAGUUCGGAUUGGGGUCUGCAACUCGACCCCAUGAAGUCGGAGUUGCUAGUAAUCGCAGAUCAGCAUUGCUGCGGUGAAUACGUUCCCGGGCCUUGUACACACCGCCCGUCACGUCACGAAAGUCGGUAACACCCGAAGCCGGUGGCCCAACCCCCUUGUGGGGAGGGAGCUGUCGAAGGUGGGACUGGCGAUUGUGACGAAGUCGUAUCUU